GACGAACCGUCCAAACGUUAUUCGGAAUCACUGGGCUUACAGAGUUCGUAGGCGGUCUGGAAAGUUGGGUGUGAAAUCCCUCGGCCUAACCGAGGAACUGCGCUUGAAACUACCAGACUCGAGGGGGAUAGAGGAAAGCGGAACUGAUGGUGGAGCGGUGAAAUGCGUUGAUAUCAUCAGGAACACCGGUGGCGAAGGCGGCUUUCUGGGUCUUACCUGAUGCUGAGGAACGAAAGCCAGGGGAGCGAACGGG
Molecule: ribosomal RNA, 253 nt
Filed under: uncultured bacterium
Lineage: Bacteria
Description: partial 16S ribosomal RNA
Rfam family: Bacterial small subunit ribosomal RNA
Source: RNAcentral